AGUGAACGCUGGCGGUAGGCCUAACACAUGCAAGUCGAACGGCAGCACAGUGAUAGCUUGCGCUUACGGGGGCCGAGUGGCGGACGGUUGAUGAAUACAUCCGAAUCUGCUGUUUCGUGGGGGAUGACGUAGGGGAUCUUACGCUAAUACCGCAUACGACCUAAGUGGGGAAGCAUGGGAUCUUCCGACCUUGCGCGAUUGUAGGAGGCGAUGUCGGAUUAGCUAGUUGGCGGGGUAAAGGCCCACCAAGGCGACGAUCCGUAGCUGGUCUGAGAGGAUGAUCAGCCACACUGGAACUGAGACACGGUCCAGACUCCUACGGGAGGCAGCAGUGGGGAAUAUUGGACAAUGGGCGCAAGCCUGAUCCAGCCAUACCGCGUGGGUGAAGAAGGCCUUCGGGUUGUAAAGCCCUUUUGUUGGGAAAGAAAAGCAGCAGGUUAAUACCUUGCUGUUCUGACGGUACCCAAAGAAUAAGCACCGGCUAACUUCGUG
This 492-nucleotide ribosomal RNA is filed under the name uncultured bacterium. RNAcentral's name for it is "partial 16S ribosomal RNA". It matches the Rfam family "Bacterial small subunit ribosomal RNA", at positions 29 to 507 of the family's 1533-position model. The record is from RNAcentral.